Molecule: small RNA, 27 nt
Filed under: Bombyx mori (domestic silkworm)
Lineage: Eukaryota; Metazoa; Arthropoda; Insecta; Lepidoptera; Bombycidae
Description: ovarian small RNA-9675
Source: RNAcentral
UUCUUCAAAAACUCAUCAAAUUCUAGC